GUUCUUACCUGGCAGAGGAGACACCAUGAUCAGGCAGGUGGUUUUCCCAGGGCGAGGCUCACCCCUUGCACUAUGGGUGUGCUGACCCCUGCGAUUUCCCGAAAUGUGGGAAACUUGACUGCAUAAUUUGUGGUAGUGGGGGACUGCAUUCGCGCUCUCCCCUG
Small nuclear RNA from Apteryx haastii (Great spotted kiwi), 164 nucleotides. Its record names the gene U1. It matches the Rfam family "U1 spliceosomal RNA". Rfam says of the family: U1 is a small nuclear RNA (snRNA) component of the spliceosome (involved in pre-mRNA splicing). Its 5' end forms complementary base pairs with the 5' splice junction, thus defining the 5' donor site of an intron. The record is from Ensembl. NCBI's taxonomy places the organism in Eukaryota, Metazoa, Chordata, Aves, Apterygiformes, Apterygidae.